CGGGACCUACGGGAGGCAGCAGUCGAGAAUCAUUCACAAUGGGGGAAACCCUGAUGGUGCGACGCCGCGUGGGGGAAUGAAGGUCUUAGGAUUGUAAACCCCUGUCAUGUGGGAGCAAAUUAAAAAGAUCGUACCAAAAGAGGAAGAGACGGCUAACUCUGUGCCAGCAGCCGAGGUAAUACAGAGGUCUCAAGCGUUGUUCGGAAUCACUGGGCGUUAAGCGUGCGUAGGCUGUUUCGUAAGUCGUGUGUGA
Molecule: ribosomal RNA, 253 nt
Filed under: uncultured bacterium
Lineage: Bacteria
Description: partial 16S ribosomal RNA
Rfam family: Bacterial small subunit ribosomal RNA
Source: RNAcentral